GACGAACGCUGGCGGCGUGCUUAACACAUGCAAGUCGAACGGAAAGGCCCUGCUUUUGUGGGGUGCUCGAGUGGCGAACGGGUGAGUAACACGUGAGUAACCUGCCCUUGACUUUGGGAUAACUUCAGGAAACUGGGGCUAAUACCGGAUAGGAGCUCCUGCUGCAUGGUGGGGGUUGGAAAGUUUCGGCGGUUGGGGAUGGGCUCGCGGCUUAUCAGCUUGUUGGUGGGGUAGUGGCUUACCAAGGCUUUGACGGGUAGCCGGCCUGAGAGGGUGACCGGCCACAUUGGGACUGAGAUACGGCCCAGACUCCUACGGGGGGCAGCAGUGGGGAAUAUUGCACAAUGGGCGGAAGCCUGAUGCAGCAACGCCGCGUGCGGGAUGACGGCCUUCGGGUUGUAAACCGCUUUCGCCUGUGACGAAGCGUGAGUGACGGUAAUGGGUAAAGAAGCACCGGCUAACUACGUG
RNAcentral lists this ribosomal RNA (468 nucleotides) under uncultured bacterium. RNAcentral's name for it is "partial 16S ribosomal RNA". It matches the Rfam family "Bacterial small subunit ribosomal RNA", at positions 28 to 507 of the family's 1533-position model. The record is from RNAcentral.